GCGCACGCGCGCGCGCGGGCGGCGCCGCUAAUUGUUGCUAAUUUUGUUUCAUUAACUUUAUUUACUCUUGAACCCCUUAAUUGUUUUCCAUUUAUUUUUAGUAAUUUUACAAUGCACUACUAAUCCCCCUGUCUGCCGACGCCUCUGCCCCUCCCUCUGCCUUCCUUUCCUCGGUGCUCCGCCGCCCUCCCCCCGGCCUUCCCGGCUUUGGCGCCGCGGGGCCGCUGGCUUGGGAAGGCGCUGCCGCCCCCGCGCGGAGGAACACGGGGCGUUCCUGGUGCCCUAUUUCACGGCACCGACAAACGGAAUAUUACUUUUAAAACAGUAUGAAAUACCAGGUCCUGUCCUCGGAGCUAUUUCGGGGGAAUUCAAUUUUCGCUGAAUGGUCGCGGGGAGAAUGUGCCCGGCUCUCCACACAGCGCUUCUCAAAUCCACUAAAAUCAACACAAUAAUUGAAAUAUUUUCAAGCUGAUUACACCGCAGCCCGAGGCUAGCCUGGUUGCUAAGGGUGAGCUCCACGGUUGCUAGGGGGAGUAAAUCAUCUUGCAUUAUUUGAUUUUUGUUAUAGAUAUGAAACCGCUACUCCCGCGAUUAAAUGUCUCUCAGCCUAACACCUAUGGGACCUGGGGAGAGAGGGAGAGAGGGGCUCCAACCUUGACCCUGUCAAAUAAAUAUCUCUAACUUUUCC
RNAcentral lists this long non-coding RNA (688 nucleotides) under Heterocephalus glaber (naked mole-rat). RNAcentral's name for it is "lncRNA (ENSHGLG00000048951.1)". Lineage: Eukaryota; Metazoa; Chordata; Mammalia; Rodentia; Bathyergidae. The record is from RNAcentral.